AGAGCGAACGCUGGCGGCAGGCCUAACACAUGCAAGUCGAGCGCCCGUAGCAAUACGGGAGCGGCAGACGGGAGAGUAACACGUGGGAACGCGCCCUUCGGUUCGGAAUAACUCAGGGAAACUUGAGCUAAUACCGGAUACGCCCUUACGGGGAAAGAUUUAUUGCCGAAGGAACGGCCCGCGUCCGAUUAGCUUGUUGGUGAGGUAAUGGCUCACCAAGGCGACGAUCGGUAGCUGGUCUGAGAGGAUGACCAGCCUCACUGGGACUGAGACACGGCCCAGACUCCUACGGGAGGCAGCAGUGGGGAAUAUUGGACAAUGGGCGCAAGCCUGAUCCAGCCAUGCCGCGUGGAUGAUGAAGGCCCUAGGGUUGUAAAGCUCUUUCGCUCGGGACGAUAAUGACGGUACCGAGAUAAGAAGCCCCGGCUAACUUCGUGCCAGCAGCCGU
RNAcentral lists this ribosomal RNA (448 nucleotides) under uncultured bacterium. Its description in RNAcentral is "SSU rRNA". It matches the Rfam family "Bacterial small subunit ribosomal RNA", at positions 26 to 518 of the family's 1533-position model. The record is from RNAcentral.